RNAcentral lists this ribosomal RNA (522 nucleotides) under uncultured Nitrospira sp. RNAcentral describes it as "bacterial SSU rRNA". It matches the Rfam family "Bacterial small subunit ribosomal RNA", at positions 8 to 522 of the family's 1533-position model. Lineage: Bacteria; Pseudomonadati; Nitrospirota; Nitrospiria; Nitrospirales; Nitrospiraceae. The record is from RNAcentral.
AGAGUUUGAUCCUGGCUCAGAACGAACGCUGGCGGCGCGCCUAAUACAUGCAAGUCGAGCGAGAAGACGUAGCAAUACGUUUGUAAAGCGGCGAACGGGUGAGGAAUACAUGGGUAACCUACCCUAGAGUGGGGAAUAACUAGCCGAAAGGUUAGCUAAUACCGCGUACGCUUCUUGGACUUCGGUUCAAGGAGGAAAGCGAUACCGAGGGUAUCGCGCUCUUGGAUAGGCUCAUGUCCUAUCAGCUUGUUGGUGAGGUAACGGCUCACCAAGGCUUCGACGGGUAGCUGGUCUGAGAGGACGAUCAGCCACACUGGCACUGCGACACGGGCCAGACUCCUACGGGAGGCAGCAGUAAGGAAUAUUGCGCAAUGGGCGAAAGCCUGACGCAGCGACGCCGCGUGGGGGAUGAAGGUCUUCGGAUUGUAAACCCCUUUCGGGAGGGAAGAUGGAAUGGGGUAACCCAUUCGGACGGUACCUCCAGAAGCAGCCACGGCUAACUUCGUGCCAGCAGCCGCGGUA